CAGGCUUAACACAUGCAAGUCGAGGGGCAGCAUGGUCUUAGCUUGCUAAGGCCGAUGGCGACCGGCGCACGGGUGAGUAACACGUAUCCAACCUGCCGUCUACUCUUGGACAGCCUUCUGAAAGGAAGAUUAAUACAAGAUGGCAUCAUGAGUCCGCAUGUUCACAUGAUUAAAGGUAUUCCGGUAGACGAUGGGGAUGCGUUCCAUUAGAUAGUAGGAGGGGUAACGGCCCACCUAGUCUUCGAUGGAUAGGGGUUCUGAGAGGAAGGUCCCCCACAUUGGAACUGAGACACGGUCCAAACUCCUACGGGAGGCAGCAGUGAGGAAUAUUGGUCAAUGGGCGAGAGCCUGAACCAGCCAAGUAGCGUGAAGGAUGACUGCCCUAUGGGUUGUAAACUUCUUUUAUAAAGGAAUAAAGUCGGGUAUGGAUACCCGUUUGCAUGUACUUUAUGAAUAAGGAUCGGCUAACUCCGUGCCAGCAGCCGCGGUAAUACGGAGGAUCCGAGCGUUAUCCGGAUUUAUUGGGUUUAAAGGGAGCGUAGAUGGAUGUUUAAGUCAGUUGUGAAAGUUUGCGGCUCAACCGUAAAAUUGCAGUUGAUACUGGAUAUCUUGAGUGCAGUUGAGGCAGGCGGAAUUCGUGGUGUAGCGGUGAAAUGCUUAGAUAUCACGAAGAACUCCGAUUGCGAAGGCAGCCUGCUAAGCUGCAACUGACAUUGAGGCUCGAAAGUGUGGGUAUCAAACAGGAUUAGAUACCCUGGUAGUCCACACGGUAAACGAUGAAUACUCGCUGUUUGCGAUAUACAGCAAGCGGCCAAGCGAAAGCGUUAAGUAUUCCACCUGGGGAGUACGCCGGCAACGGUGAAACUCAAAGGAAUUGACGGGGGCCCGCACAAGCGGAGGAACAUGUGGUUUAAUUCGAUGAUACGCGAGGAACCUUACCCGGGCUUAAAUUGCAGAUGAAUUACGGUGAAAGCCGUAAGCCGCAAGGCAUCUGUGAAGGUGCUGCAUGGUUGUCGUCAGCUCGUGCCGUGAGGUGUCGGCUUAAGUGCCAUAACGAGCGCAACCCUUGUUGUCAGUUACUAACAGGUUCCGCUGAGGACUCUGACAAGACUGCCAUCGUAAGAUGUGAGGAAGGUGGGGAUGACGUCAAAUCAGCACGGCCCUUACGUCCGGGGCUACACACGUGUUACAAUGGGGGGUACAGAGGGCCGCUACCACGCGAGUGGAUGCCAAUCCCAAAAACCUCUCUCAGUUCGGACUGGAGUCUGCAACCCGACUCCACGAAGCUGGAUUCGCUAGUAAUCGCGCAUCAGCCACGGCGCGGUGAAUACGUUCCCGGGCCUUGUACACACCGCCCGUCAAGCCAUGGGAGCCGGGGGUACCUGAAGUGCGUA
This 1394-nucleotide ribosomal RNA is filed under the name uncultured organism. Its description in RNAcentral is "16S ribosomal RNA". It matches the Rfam family "Bacterial small subunit ribosomal RNA". The record is from RNAcentral.